Molecule: ribosomal RNA, 430 nt
Filed under: uncultured beta proteobacterium
Lineage: Bacteria; Pseudomonadati; Pseudomonadota; Betaproteobacteria
Description: bacterial SSU rRNA
Rfam family: Bacterial small subunit ribosomal RNA
Source: RNAcentral
UUCGUGAGAUGUUGGGUUAAUUCCCGCAACGAGUGCAACCUUUGUCCCUAGUGCCCACGCAAGGGCACUCUAGGGAGACUCCCGGUGACAAACCGGAGGAAGGUGGGGAUGACGUCAAGUCCUCAUGGCCCUUAUGGGUAGGGCUUCACUCGUCACACAAUGGACGGUACAGAGGGUUGCCAACCCGCGAGGGGGGGCCAAUCCCAGAAAGCCGUUCGUAGUCCGGAUUGCAGUCUGCAACUCGACUGCAAGAAGUCGGAAUCGCUAGUAAUCGCGGAUCAGCAUGUCGCGGUGAAUACGUUCCCGGGUGUUGUACACACCGCCCGUCACACCAUGGGAGCGGGAUGUACCAGAAGUAGGUAGGUUAACCGCAAGGGGGCCGCUUACCACGGUGCGUUUGGUGACUGUGGGUGAAGUCGUAACAAGGUAA